UGUUAUUGGUUAAAGAUGGUUCUUCUCACAUGGCAUCACACUGAACACCAAGAGCUUUCCAUACAUAUUUGUUACAUUACAACCUUAAAGCUCUUCACGAAAGAUGCGUUUUUUCCCGACCUUCGAAAUCAAGGGCAUUCACAAAGGGGGGAUUUUUUUCCCCUACGGCUGUUGGAGCAAUUAAUUUUCCCAAACCAGCUGUUUUGGUUCAGGUGCUCUUUCGUACAAGGCAGUGUAAGUGAUUGUAGAAGCCAUGGUUCUUGACUCCAUUUUGUCUACUCCUGUUCUGAGGUCACCAUCUUUCAAGAGGCAGUUUGCAAGGCAUGAGCUGGGUAGUUGGUCAGCAUUGGUGAAGAGGCACCUGUUCCUCUUAUCUGCUCUUGCUCUACUAACUGUUCUCUGUAUCAUAUAUCUAUAUUUUGCGAUUACUUUAGGGGCCAACGAUUCCUGCUUCGGGUUGAGUGGACCUGAGAAAGUCUCCUGUCAGAUGGACCUUGUUAAGGAGGUGUCUGCAGCCAGUGGCAAACUGAAAAGGCUCAAACAAUUCUGAUUGUUUUUAUCUUUCCCUUUAGGUGACAUGAAAUCGAAAUAUAAUUUUUCGACUCAAUGUUAGUAUCAUAUGUAUUAUUUAUGCUAGCAUUUUUUGAGCCAAGAUGUACGAAAUGCAUUGUGAAAAGCAAUUUCUUGAUUGCUAAUUCCAGGGGUUGCUUUAUUCUACCUAAUAUGAGAUCGUUGAGCGCCCUAGCAGACCAAGUGAAGCUUGACUUUUAACAAUGUUUAUGUAUAUGGACUAAUUUGAAACUUCAUAUUCUCUUUUUGUGU
This is a long non-coding RNA of Vigna angularis (adzuki bean), 822 nucleotides long. RefSeq lists it as uncharacterized. The transcript is spliced from 3 exons. NCBI's taxonomy places the organism in Eukaryota, Viridiplantae, Streptophyta, Magnoliopsida, Fabales, Fabaceae. The record is from RefSeq and is a predicted model, not a curated record.